GCGUCUCGCUGCAUGCAGGGGACGAGGGUGAUGAAGUACCUGCUUUGACAACUCCCCCCGGGAAAAAAUCCACCGGAGAAGUGAAGGGCUGAACUCUGCGCGUGUUGGGCUGCACGUCUACACAAAGAGCCUCCUGCUGCUGUCGCAUGCAACCCUGCGGCUUCCCGGCACCGUCCGCCUUCUCAGAUUCAGCACCCCACCUGCAUCUCCAGCCAACUCCUCCCAACUCCAGCAGAACCUCCAUCCACCGCCACCAGAGUCUGGACUCCUCGAGGAGAUGUGACUGCCGAUCAGGGGAAACCCAGCGCAACCUCAAAUCCCCUCGUUUAGUUCAAGCACCAAAUAAAUUCUGUGUCACUCAUUAACCCAUCAACUGGCAUAAUACAUGUUGACUAAUCCUUUGGUCGUCUCUCCUGUUUGAACUGAUAUUUAGCCGUAUUUUGCCCCUUUAGGUAGAUUGUCAGAGAGAGACAGACAGAGUGCGAGAGAGAGGGUGUCAAGAGUAAUUCCAAGUGGAUGUCUGGCCCCUGAGGGCACCCUGCCCUGCGGCUAUGGAGGCUCAGACAUUGAGAGAUGCUCAUUCUGCUGUGUGAUGAGAGUAACAACAAGCUGCUCUACUCUUUAACACUGAAUCUGCUACCCAACGCUUGGACCACACUUUGCAUGUUAGCCACGAUGUAUGUAUGGUCUUUUUCAUCGGUUGAGAGCCACUUUCUGGUAUUUGAGCCUCAUUAUCUCACAUUUGUCACAGCACGAUUCUGUUGUUUGAUUGUACCUAUCCAUAUUAAAUGAUCUUGAACUGCUUCAUAAAUCUCAGCACUUUUGUACGUAUUGCACAUCAUUAGAAGCAAGCAUUUCCAGAGCGACCGUGUCUGAACGCAAUGGUCUCCCAGUCAUAACAACAUAUAUUGGUCCCCUUCUUUGUUUUGCUACCGUUGGUUUUCACACCAUAAAUAAAUAUUGCACAUGGUCA
Gasterosteus aculeatus aculeatus (three-spined stickleback) is the source of this 973-nucleotide long non-coding RNA. The record is from Ensembl. NCBI's taxonomy places the organism in Eukaryota, Metazoa, Chordata, Actinopteri, Perciformes, Gasterosteidae.